GACGAACGCUGGCGGCGUGCUUAACACAUGCAAGUCGAACGGAAAGGCCCUGCUUUUGUGGGGUGCUCGAGUGGCGAACGGGUGAGUAACACGUGAGUAACCUGCCCUUGACUUUGGGAUAACUUCAGGAAACUGGGGCUAAUACCGGAUAGGAGCUCCUGCUGCAUGGUGGGGGUUGGAAGGUUUCGGCGGUUGGGGAUGGACUCGCGGCUUAUCAGCUUGUUGGUGGGGUAGUGGCUUACCAAGGCUUUGGCGGGUAGCCGGCCUGAGAGGGUGACCGGCCACAUUGGGACUGAGAUACGGCCCAGACUCCUACGGGAGGCAGCAGUGGGGAAUAUUGCACAAUGGGCGGAAGCCUGAUGAAGCAACGCCGCGUGCGGGAUGACGGCCUUCGGGUUGUAAACCGCUUUCGCCUGUGACGAAGCGUGAGUGACGGUAAUGGGUAAAGAAGCACCGGCUAACUACGUG
This 468-nucleotide ribosomal RNA is filed under the name uncultured bacterium. RNAcentral describes it as "partial 16S ribosomal RNA". It matches the Rfam family "Bacterial small subunit ribosomal RNA", at positions 28 to 507 of the family's 1533-position model. The record is from RNAcentral.